UAAAGUGCGAUAUGUAGUGCGAUUUGCAUGAAUCUGUGAGUCAUCUAAUCUUUGAACGCAACUUGCGCCUCUCUGAGGCAUGUCUGUUUGAGUGCCGCAUACCUCGUGCAGCAAUGCGAUUUGAUCAAUGUCUGUCCUGUCCGGUCCGUCUCUGGACCGACCGGACUGACCUGGUCUAAACGUAGCCAGAUAGUGGCCAGCGCUGCUAGUCGUCCGAGUGCUAAGCAUUCUUGGAUCUAGUAGCACUGAGCUAGCUACCACCAAUUAAUUAUUUUUUUGGCCUCAAAUCAGGCAAGACUACCCGCUGAACUUAA
RNAcentral lists this unclassified non-coding RNA (314 nucleotides) under uncultured fungus. RNAcentral's name for it is "sequence contains ITS1". The stretch from base 1 to 97 matches the Rfam family "5.8S ribosomal RNA", at positions 49 to 154 of the family's 154-position model. The record is from RNAcentral. Lineage: Eukaryota; Fungi.